UGCAAACGUUGCUCGGAAUUAUUGGGCGUAAAGCGCGUGUAGGCGGCAGCGCAAGUCGGAUGUGAAAUCCCAUGGCUCAACCAUGGAAGUGCACCCGAAACUGCGUCGCUAGAGUCCUGGAGAGGAAGGUGGAAUGCUUGGUGUAGAGGUGAAAUUCGUAGAUAUCAAGCGGAACACCGGUGGCGAAGGCGGCCUUCUGGACAGUGACUGACGCUGAGACGCGAAAGCGUGGGGAGCAAACAGG
RNAcentral lists this ribosomal RNA (244 nucleotides) under uncultured bacterium. RNAcentral's name for it is "partial 16S ribosomal RNA". It matches the Rfam family "Bacterial small subunit ribosomal RNA", at positions 533 to 776 of the family's 1533-position model. The record is from RNAcentral.